This is a long non-coding RNA of Rattus norvegicus (Norway rat), 1245 nucleotides long. RefSeq lists it as uncharacterized. The record is from RefSeq and is a predicted model, not a curated record. NCBI's taxonomy places the organism in Eukaryota, Metazoa, Chordata, Mammalia, Rodentia, Muridae.
UUUCUCAUCUCUCCCUCUGCCAAGCCUUCUAGGACCCCAGGACCCAGCAUUUCAAGAACAAAGGUGAAGGACCUUUCCAUCGUGGAGACCCUAACUCGGAAGAACCCAGGAAUUACAGCUUUGGUCUUUCAUAUUCUCUUGGCUUUGUCUAGGGUGUCUUUUCUUGAUCAUUCCCAGACUGCUUCAAGUCUCUAAAGUCCCUUCUUGGGGACCCAGUCAGGCACAGGCCUUGGAGUCUCCAACAGGCUCCAGUCAAAGCUUUGCCCUCUCAACCAGGAUCCCCCACUAGUGAGGGGCUGUAUCUUUAACAUCUGUGUUCCAUUCUAGCAUGCAGGCACACAGCAUUUCUCAGAGGAUGCUGCCAUUGUGUGGUUACCAUGACUCCCAAGUUUCUUUAAAUAAAGCCUGUAUCCAUCCUAGGGUUUUGUUAUCCACCUCUGAGUGAGCAUGGUACCCUCUGUGGCUCAAACUUGGGCUAUCUAACCCUUUAUCACUCCCAUCUUGUUUUUCAGUUUUCCCUCUUAAGCCUCCUCUCCACUUUUGGACCAGCCAAACUCUCAGCUACUCCUCUAGCACCAUGUCUAACACCAUGCCUGUGUGCUGCCAUGCUCCCUGCCGUGAUGAAAAUGGACUAAACUUAUGAAACUGAGAGCUCAAUCGAUGUUGUGGAGGAGAGAGAGAAUUCUCUGGGCAAGUGGUCCUGGGAUGCUCAAGAAAGCUGGCUGAGCAUAAGCCACCGACUGAGCCAGCGAACACUCUUCCUCCUCGGAUUCUACCGGGUUGGCACACAGCUACUACAGAUCCUCAAGCUGGAGCUCACUGUGGCCUAAGCCUGCUUUCUGCCUCUGAGUAGGAGGGGCUUUGUCCUGUCUCUUACUUGAAGAGGAGGGAAGAGUCCAGGCAGGUCUGGGCCAUGACAGAGACUGUGCUCAGAAAUGGCCACAAAGACGGUUGGGAGCUUAACUAGUUGCAUGAGGCUCUGUGCUUUGUCCCAGCUCUGGAGCGGUGAAGGCAUCACAAAGAAUCCUGCAAUACCAUGAUGCCCACCUAUUCCAGGAAGAAUCUGCACGGGACAGAGUCCUCCUGGAAAUUUGUGAGCAACUUAGUUGAUUUUUCUGAGCAAUCCAGUAAGCCACACGCCGGGAGGAUAAUGUGAACGGUGUCACCAUUUGGCGUCUUUGAGUUAUAAGAUCACAGGUGUGCUUCUUUGGCCUUUAAAGAAAUUAAAUUCUGUGUGCUAUUCAA